GGGGAGCAAACAGGAUUAGAUACCCUGGUAGUCCACGCUGUAAACGAUGAGUACUAGGUGUCGGGGGUUACCCCCUUCGGUGCCGCAGCUAACGCAUUAAGUACUCCGCCUGGGAAGUACGCUCGCACGAGUGAAACUCAAAGGAAUUGACGGGGACCCGCACAAGUAGCGGAGCAUGUGGUUUAAUUCGAAGCAACGCGAAGAACCUUACCUAAGCUUGACAUCCCAAUGACAUCUCCUUAAUCGGAGAGUUCC
Molecule: ribosomal RNA, 255 nt
Filed under: Clostridioides difficile
Lineage: Bacteria; Bacillati; Bacillota; Clostridia; Peptostreptococcales; Peptostreptococcaceae
Description: partial 16S ribosomal RNA
Rfam family: Bacterial small subunit ribosomal RNA
Source: RNAcentral